This 101-nucleotide non-coding RNA is filed under the name Streptomycetaceae bacterium MP113-05. Its description in RNAcentral is "sodF sRNA". It matches the Rfam family "sodF sRNA". Rfam says of the family: Identified in Streptomyces coelicolor. It is produced from sodF mRNA by cleavage of about 90 nucleotides from its 3'UTR. The record is from Rfam by way of RNAcentral. Lineage: Bacteria; Bacillati; Actinomycetota; Actinomycetes; Kitasatosporales; Streptomycetaceae.
GGCUCCCGCCCCUCGUGAUCGUCUUCUCACCUUUCACAGGGCAGGGCGGGAGAACGAGAAAGGGGCGGCCCCGGUGUGGAUGUGACACACCGGGACCGCCC